GUGCUCCCUUCAGCAGCACAUACACUAAAAGUAGAACGAUACAGAGAAGAGUAUCAUGGCCCCUGCACAAGGAUGAGACAAAUUUGAGAAAGAAAUUGAUGUUUUUA
Small nuclear RNA from Zalophus californianus (California sea lion), 107 nucleotides. Lineage: Eukaryota; Metazoa; Chordata; Mammalia; Carnivora; Otariidae. The record is from Ensembl.